RNAcentral lists this unclassified non-coding RNA (5326 nucleotides) under Acanthaster planci (crown-of-thorns starfish). RNAcentral's name for it is "g-protein coupled receptor 54-like, transcript variant X1". The record is from RNAcentral. Lineage: Eukaryota; Metazoa; Echinodermata; Asteroidea; Valvatida; Acanthasteridae.
UUGAUACUAGAAAGAAGCUCGUGAGGAAGAAGUACUCUAUCAAUCCGAACUGAAACAGUUCUUUCCCGGCGUAAAGACGACAUAACGGUCCCCCACUCGAUAAAGUGUAAGAUUUUUCUGAUCAGCAUCACCCCUCACUUUCGUCUUGGAUUGUCAAAACCAAAAGUACCCGCUUUUGUUUUUCACUCUCUCUUGCAGUAUUGCAAGGACCUUCCCAUCAUGACUGAAUCUGCGGUCUUCGUUACGGACAUUGCUACCACAGUGGUGGAUUUAUUCGCGCCCACAAACUUUAGUGACCGGAUGGCGAACACCAAUUUUCCCCUACUCGUGUACAGCUCUCCCAGAUACUACUUCAACGGCAGUCUAGACAAUGCCACCACUCCAGCUCCACCGGCUUCUUUUCCAGCGGCCUUUGAGACCACGGUGCGGAUCAUGGUGCCCACCAUCAUCGCCAUCAUCGCCAUCAUCGGGCUGAUCGGCAACGGCACGGUGCUCUACAUCAUCUUCCGGUACCGGGAGAUGCAGAACAUAACGAACUAUUUCAUCGCCAACCUGGCCGUGACAGAUGUGGCCAUGCUAGCUAUUUGUGCCAUUCCCACCGCAGCAAACAUAGCCGGGAUGCCGAUUGGCGAGGGACUGUGCAAGGGAAUCAACUACAUGCAAUUUGUGACCGUGCAAGCGACUUGUUGCACCCUGACAGCAAUGUCAAUCGAUCGGUAUCUUCUCAUUGUCCAUGCCGUUCGGUCUCGAAAUACCCGAACGACAACCAGGGCCAUCAUCAUCAACGUUGCUGUUUGGAUUGGUUCCUUUGUCGUGCACAGUCCAGUUGCCAUAUUCUACGUUCUGGAGAAUGAUAAAUGUUUUAUGAAGAUGGGACAGAAUGGGAGAGACGCCAGGUUCUACUACUUGGGCUCGUUUCUCUCAAUGUACGUGAUCCCCUUAGUCGUCAUCCUCAUGUGCUACGCUAAGAUUCUUGUUAUUGUGUGGCGGAAAACAUCAGCAGGCACCGAAAGCGCCCAGGCCCACGAGCGGUCCAUCCGCCAGAAGCGUAAGAUCACACGCAUGGUGUUCAUCGUGGUUCUCCUGUUUGCAGUCUGCUGGGCGCCCAUCCACUGCAUGAUACUCUGGGAGAAGUUCCAGGAGCCCUUCGAUCUCAGUAUGCCAACUCGAAUGGCUGUGACCGUCUUACGGUUCUUUGCGUUUUGCCUGUCCUAUGCCAACAGUCUAACCAACCCCUUUAUAUAUGCUUUCACGACGGCCAGUUUUAAGAAACACUUCAAACGGGUACUGUCCUGCUCAGCCCCCAACGAAUGCACGGACACAAAAAGCAUGGGUCCAUCCACCACAUACAAGAAGAUUGGCAAAUUUCUGGUCGAGUCCCCAACAAGUUUCAAAACAAGACAGCCUGCUCAGGACGUGUAGCUGCGUCGACCAUGGCGGCGCCACGUGAGCGCUUUGCAGAUUUAAAUUUGCCGCGUUCCCAAACGCUUUGACAGUACGUGAUUGUGUAUGUGCUUGUCCACACAAUGUGUUACAAUUAAUCAUAACAUUUGCCUAAAAUUCUAAAGAUCACAAGUGCGAUUUUACUACAUUGCAGAUUGUUGCAUUGUCAUGAGGCUUGAAAUGAAUUAAAUGAGGUUGCAACAAAUGUACGAUUUUGUAGAGAUAAGGAUUUUCUUUUAGGCUGAGUGUUUUCCUUACAUUUGAAAUAUUUCAAAUAAGGAAAAAGAUGCAGUUUGUGCAAGAGUAACACAUCUUUGGACAGCUCUCAAGAUGUACAUCUUUAUUUCUACCGCUACUGACUAUUAUGUGUAUUCCAACAGCUAUGGCGUUUUAUUGUUAAUGUUCAUAAGCAGUGCCUGUGAUUGUACCUGUUUUCUUAAACAAAAACAAAAACAAAAAAAAAACAAAAAAACACGGAAAAAGAAAAAUCUUUCAGGCUAUCAAUUGUUUUUAUCGGCCGACUAUUUCUAUCGUCUGUGUGAUCUGCAGCAUAUUCACAUUUUUUUUUCUUUGCUGCAAAUUGUCGUUUUAGUGAAUUUGAAGAAUUUUGCCUGAAAGAGAAAAUGUCGGAUAUUAUACCUGUACCUUCGAAAUCAUUGGAAAUCGAUAUCAUUAAUUCUGUAUAUAGUACAUAGAAUUAUACGUCCCAGGCACGGGUACUUUUUGUUUUCAUUUUAUACUAUUUUUAACCAUUUUCUUUUAAUGUAGAUACGUAUAUAUAUUCCACAUUAUCUUGAAGGAACAACAGUAACUAUGACAGUAGUUGUCUAAAUAUCUUGCGUUUGAGUGUUUACCUAGCUUCUCGUUAGUACAAAUAAUCAGUUUUGUAGCGUAAUCUUGCAACUGUACAUUUGUCAUUGAGUUGUCACAAAGACACCUCAACUGAAGCAAAGAAAAAGAACUCCAAUUUUCCAUGAACAAAUAAAUAUCAUUACAAGACUAAAUUACAUAAUCCUUGAAAACUGCGCACAUUUUGCGUUCUUGUAAAGUUCUUGGAGAAUUGGACCAUAUUUGUUGCUGAAUCAAGGCAAAAUAUCUAUCUCAAAAUAAGACCUUAUUAAUUUUUCUUUGCCUGAUCUAUAGUUUAUGUAUAUAUUUCUUUAUUUUAUUGAUAGAUCUGAAACAAUGAAGUUGUUCAGGGGCUGUCAAGGAAAAAACUAAAGUUAUAAGAAGUCCAACACUGAAAAAGAUAAGAAUGAACGCUUGUUCAAACCACACAAAAUCAUAAACACAAAAAGGACAAUCACAACAAUUCAACAUGUGAAAAUAUUCAAGACACUAGGCAUAACGGAGAAAAAGCCAACAAAAUGGCACUUUGAAAACAAUAAACGAAAGUAGAAAAUAUUACACACAGGAUAAAAAAAGAAAAAAUACUUGUACAAUUAAUUUUUAAAGAACUAUGUUCAAUUUGACGAAAGCUUUGUAAAUAUAAAAAAAAAUGUCUUUUUUCAGCGUAAAUAAUUUCUCCAUCUGGUGUGUUUCAUCUCAAAACAAUAACGUGAUUACACAUUUUAGAUUAGGCCAACAAGGCAUGGAUAAGGAUGUAGAAAUAAAAACAAAUCACUUAAGUGUCCUGCGUCAGUUACAUUAUAUGAUUUCAUUUACAAUAUAUGAUGGUUUAUAUAUAUAUGAGUGUCCUGCGUCAGUUACAUUAUAUGAUUUCAGUUACAAUAUAUGAUGGUUUUCGAGACCAUCGGUGGGGGGGACAAAAUAUGGAGCUAGUGAAGAAGACAACGCAAUGUCUGGAGACCGAUUGUUGUCUUGAUCAGUCCUUGAGCUUGAUUCCUACAUGCCCCCAUCCGGUGUAGUGAAGCUUGACUUGAUUGUCAAAAUCAGUCCCUAUAUUUGUACUAGUCAUACGAGAGAGGAAGUCUCGGUUAAUGACUCCAUCAACUCAGCUGUAGCGGACAGGUUUCUUUGAUCAGGUCUAUUUGAUGGGUUUAAUCAGACUUAAUGAAAAAUGUCGGUCAGUUAAACGGCAGCUUGCCGUUAGCCGAGAGUCGAGGAAAUGUAGGAAUUUGAUUUGACAUUACCUCGAGGCUAAUACCUGCAUCAAUAUUUCGGCUUCUUGUCAAAGAUGAGAUGUCUGAGACACGAAGCCCAUUUCCUACCGUCAUAUAUUCCCAGCUUUGCCUGCGUCCUCAUUGGUGACCGACUUUGGUGACGCAUUCUGUCUCGUGGUACUUCAGGGAAGAGAGAAACUUCCCACGUUCUCUUUUUUACAUGACACUGACAUGUCAUCAGCAUGGGAUGAUCAAUAUAAUCUCAACUACCUUCAAGUAGGGACACUAGACAUGGUAAUAUUCGCAAUGACAGCGUUAAAUAUAGACAAAUGACUAGGAGCAAAACCAUUUGCAAAUUGAGCACCACCAAUUACCUUUGCAUAUGCCUUUAGGGAGUUAGUACUGUUUCAGGGUUAACCCGAGUCCACUUUCAGAAGAAUGAAAAUCGUUUAAUUGUGAAGAAUUAUCCAUAAGCAACAGCAGAAUGAAAGAAAAUAUACACAUACUGUUCAGACAGACGAAAAACUAACGGACGGAUAUUGUAACACUGACUCUCAUGUUUUGGGUUUCCCUUUUUUCUUUUUUAAAUUAGUGAAACAGAUACAUGUGACUGAACUAACCGACAAUAACGAAGACGAUGUUUUGCCCCACUACGUUCAACAACUACUAUGGUGAAUAUUAUCCGUUGCUGUUUGUCAUUUUUUGACGUUUGACCAGAAGGUUUGAUCUUGGGACCUUUAAAUACCCUAGGUCAACUGGCCUUCCUUUGAUCAUACACACAGAGCGCUAAAUAUCGACAGCCUCGUUUGCAGUUUUUCUUUGGAGAUUUAAAGGUUGUCGAUAUGGCUGUUUAGGCACCUGUUUCUGGGCUGGUAAUGGUUGAUAUAUUAUAAGAACUGAGGCACGGAAUUUUUUUUCCACGGGGAACAUUACCGUCUUAAUCAGAGUGAUUCAUUCCGACAGAAAUUUUCCUUUAUCCCAGUCUGUUUCUUUCUUAUUGUCUCUUUUUGUCAUUGUAUUGUUUUGUCAAUGUCAUUGUUUUUUUCAUUGUUUCUGAAUCUUUUCAGUCUUGGGAGAAACUGUGAAUACAAUUUUCUGACUGGAACACAAACUGUAAAAACAGUUUGAACGCGUGGUGGGCCAUUUAAAAGAAAUUUAUCGUUUGCUUGGUACCAGCCGAUAGAUUUUUGUUUUGUCUGUUCGCUUGUUUCUUGUCCUUGAAACAUAGGUAGAACAGGGUCACUCCUCUAGACUUGGUGUGUAUGAUAUUGUAAUGAAUCUUGAACAUGAGUCGACCUUUGACCCCCAAAUGCAUCUAAGAAAUAAUGCCACUGUCCUAUAGUAGCAACAAAGUAUGUAGUUGACCCAGAAAAGGAAUGACCAAUUAUCUGCGCAUUUUCUUGUUGAAGUCAAUAUUGUGUAUUACAGAUGAAACUGGACAUAUAUAAUCAAGGGUGCUGGCAAUGUGGAAAAAAGUCUAGCUUUGUAGACACUUUUGUCUCACUGAUCGUUCUUCAUAAUUCGGUUUUAGGUACUUAUUAUCCACGAAUUUCAAUGCAUUAAGCCACCUUCCACAAAAUGGGCUGGUAACUGAUAAUUUGGCGUUUUAAAUAAAGGUUUCGUUGUCAUUGUUAUUGAGAAUAAGAAGAAACAAGUCUGACCACUUUUAAUGCUUGACGCUGUUGAUUAUUAGAAACCAGAUAGAAAUAUUUUAUGUUGACUAUGUAAUUAUGUGCAGAAUGCAAAUCGUAAUUUAAUGACGCGCCAGUUAUCAAGUCUAAGUGGAUGAAAAUGUGAAUAACACACGAUUGUUUAAAUAA